CAAUAAAAGUAGCAUUUCUUACAGAAAAUGAACCGAUUUUCCUUGUUUUUGAUGUUAUUUUGUGUUGAAAUGGUGAAAGCACCACUUCCCUCACUUCAGUAUUUCUACACUGAAAUGAGGGAAGUGAGCCACAUAUAAAAGCCCACUUCCCCCCUUCCAAAACUUUUUCUACAGUUGGAGAACUCCAUCUUCCGGUGGAUCUCACAAGCCCUAAAAUCUCUUCUCUCUUUUGGUUGAUCUCAAUAAUACAGGGCGUCAAACUGGUGGUGGAUCUCAUGAAUACAGGAUGUCAUCCCGGUGGUCUUUGAGAUUUUGUUUCAAGUCAGAUCUCUCCUUCGGUGGAUCUCACAAACCCUGUAAACUUUUCCUCUCUUCCGGUGGAUCUUAAGAAUGGUCAUCCUGGUGAUCUCUGAUUUUGUUUUAGGUUAGAUCUCUCCCGUGAUAGCCAAAAUCUGAUUUCCGAUGCAUAUACUUCUAUUAUAUGUAGGUGAAUAUUAUAAACGUUGGUGAAGCCAUAGUGAUUGAAGUUGUUCUAUCA
Molecule: long non-coding RNA, 538 nt
Organism: Dioscorea cayenensis subsp. rotundata (Guinea yam)
Lineage: Eukaryota; Viridiplantae; Streptophyta; Magnoliopsida; Dioscoreales; Dioscoreaceae
Exons: 2
Source: RefSeq, a predicted model, not a curated record